ACGGGUGAGUAAUAUAUCGGAACGUACCUUUGAGUGGGGGAUAACUAGUCGAAAGAUUAGCUAAUACCGCAUACGAUCUACGGAUGAAAGUGGGGGCUCGCAAGGCCUCAUGCUCAUAGAGCGGCCGAUAUCUGAUUAGCUAGUUGGUGAGGUAAAGGCUCACCAAGGCAUCGAUCAGUAGCUGGUCUGAGAGGACGACCAGCCACACUGGGACUGAGACACGGCCCAGACUCCUACGGGAGGCAGCAGUGGGGAAUUUUGGACAAUGGGGGCAACCCUGAUCCAGCAAUGCCGCGUGAGUGAAGAAGGCCUUCGGGUUGUAAAGCUCUUUUGUCAGGGAAGAAACGGGAUGUUCUAAUACAGCGUCCUAAUGACGGUACCUGAAGAAUAAGCGCCGGCUAACUACGUGCCAGCAGCCGCGGUAAUACGUAGGGUGCAAGCGUUAAUCGGAAUUACUGGGCGUAAAGCGUGCGCAGGCGGUUGUGUAAGACAGGUGUGAAAUCCCCGGGCUUAACCUGGGAAUGGCAUUUGUGACUGCACGGCUAGAGUGUGUCAGAGGGGGGUAGAAUUCCACGUGUAGCAGU
RNAcentral lists this ribosomal RNA (584 nucleotides) under uncultured Collimonas sp. RNAcentral describes it as "bacterial SSU rRNA". It matches the Rfam family "Bacterial small subunit ribosomal RNA", at positions 102 to 682 of the family's 1533-position model. The record is from RNAcentral. Lineage: Bacteria; Pseudomonadati; Pseudomonadota; Betaproteobacteria; Burkholderiales; Oxalobacteraceae.